Molecule: ribosomal RNA, 253 nt
Filed under: uncultured bacterium
Lineage: Bacteria
Description: partial 16S ribosomal RNA
Rfam family: Bacterial small subunit ribosomal RNA
Source: RNAcentral
UACGGGGGGGGCAAGCGUUGUUCGGAAUUACUGGGCGUAAAGGGCUCGUAGGUGGCCAACUAAGUCAGACGUGAAAUCCCUCGGCUUAACCGGGGAACUGCGUCUGAUACUGGAUGGCUUGAGUUUGGGAGAGGGACGCGGAAUUCCAGGUGUAGCGGUGAAAUGCGUAGAUAUCAGGAGGAACACCAAUUGCGAAGGCAGCUCGCUGGGACGUUACUGACGCUGAGACGCGAAAGCUAGGGGAGCGAACGGG